This 226-nucleotide ribosomal RNA is filed under the name uncultured Pelobacter sp. Its description in RNAcentral is "partial 16S ribosomal RNA". It matches the Rfam family "Bacterial small subunit ribosomal RNA", at positions 1156 to 1382 of the family's 1533-position model. The record is from RNAcentral. Lineage: Bacteria; Pseudomonadati; Thermodesulfobacteriota; Desulfuromonadia; Desulfuromonadales; Desulfuromonadaceae.
CGUAGUACCGGAGGAAGGUGGGGAUGACGUCAAGUCCUCAUGGCCUUAUGCCCAGGGCUACACACGUGCUACAAUGGCCGGUACAAAGGGCUGCAAUACCGCAAGGUGGAGCGAACCCCAAAAAGCCGGUCUCAGUUCGGAUUGGAGUCUGCAACUCGACUCCAUGAAGUUGGAAUCGCUAGUAAUCGCGGAUCAGCAUGCCGCGGUGAAUACGUUCCCGGGCCUU